RNAcentral lists this ribosomal RNA (497 nucleotides) under uncultured bacterium. RNAcentral describes it as "partial 16S ribosomal RNA". It matches the Rfam family "Bacterial small subunit ribosomal RNA", at positions 28 to 507 of the family's 1533-position model. The record is from RNAcentral.
GACGAACGCUGGCGGCGUGCCUAAUACAUGCAAGUUGAGCGCUGAAGGUUGGUACUUGUACCAACUGGAUGAGCAGCGAACGGGUGAGUAACGCGUGGGGAAUCUGCCUUUGAGCGGGGGACAACAUUUGGAAACGAAUGCUAAUACCGCAUAAAAACUUUAAACACAAGUUUUAAGUUUGAAAGAUGCAAUUGCAUCACUCAAAGAUGAUCCCGCGUUGUAUUAGCUAGUUGGUGAGGUAAAGGCUCACCAAGGCGAUGAUACAUAGCCGACCUGAGAGGGUGAUCGGCCACAGUGGGACGGAGACACGGCCCAAACUCCUACGGGAGGCAGCAGUAGGGAAUCUUCGGCAAUGGACGAAAGUCUGACCGAGCAACGCCGCGUGAGUGAAGAAGGUUUUCGGAUCGUAAAACUCUGUUGGUAGAGAAGAACGUUGGUGAGAGUGGAAAGCUCAUCAAGUGACGGUAACUACCCAGAAAGGGACGGCUAACUACGUG